Molecule: ribosomal RNA, 497 nt
Filed under: uncultured bacterium
Lineage: Bacteria
Description: partial 16S ribosomal RNA
Rfam family: Bacterial small subunit ribosomal RNA
Source: RNAcentral
GAUGAACGCUGGCGGAGUGCCUAAUACAUGCAAGUCGAGCGAACAGACGAUGAGCAUGUUCCUCUGACGUUAGCUGCGGACGUGUGAGUAACGCGUGGGUAACCUACCUAUAAGACUGGGAUAACUUCGGGAAACCGGAGCUAAUACCGGAUAAUAUUUUGAACCGCAUGGUUCAAUAGGGAAAGACGGGUUUUCUGUCACUUAUAGAUGGAUACUCGCCGCAUUAGCUAGUUGGUAAGGUAACGGCUUACCAAGGCAACGAUCCGUAGACGAGAUGAGAGGGUCGUCGGCCACACUGCAACUGAGACACGGUCCAGACUCCUACGCUAGGCAACGGUAGAGAAUCUUCCGCGAUGCACGAAAGCAUAACGGAGCACAGCCGCGUAAGUGAUGAUGGUCUUCGGCUCGUAGAACUAUGUUAUUUGGGAAGAAGAAAAGUGUAAGUAACUAUGCACGUCUUGACGGUACCUAAUCAGAAAGCCACGGCUAACUACGUG